GGGAGUAUAAGAUUCCAGUGGCUUCAUCUUCUGCUCAUACACCUGGUGGUAUGGCAUCUUCUUCUGUUACUACUCCUGGUUCUAGUAUUGGUUGGAAUAGGUUGUAUGCUUUGACAUCCCGACAGAAAUCCGAGGCAUCACCUGAUGUUGUUACUAGUAUGUUACACACUUUUCCCGUGUUGUAUAUUGAUUGCUUGAUCCAGGC
Molecule: long non-coding RNA, 205 nt
Filed under: Capsicum annuum
Lineage: Eukaryota; Viridiplantae; Streptophyta; Magnoliopsida; Solanales; Solanaceae
Description: long non-coding RNA (CANN_LNC008503)
Source: RNAcentral